This 557-nucleotide ribosomal RNA is filed under the name Cyathus striatus. RNAcentral's name for it is "partial large subunit ribosomal RNA". It matches the Rfam family "Eukaryotic large subunit ribosomal RNA", at positions 90 to 633 of the family's 3401-position model. The record is from RNAcentral. Lineage: Eukaryota; Fungi; Basidiomycota; Agaricomycetes; Agaricales; Nidulariaceae.
CGAGUGAAGCGGGAAAAGCUCAAAUUUAAAAUCUGGUGGUGAUCAUCCGAGUUGUAAUCUAGAGAAGUGUUACCCGCGUUGGACCGUGUACAAGUCUCCUGGAAUGGAGCGUCAUAGAGGGUGAGAAUCCCGUCUUUGACACGGACUACCAAGGCUUUGUGGUGCGCUCUCAACGAGUCGAGUUGUUUGGGAAUGCAGCUCAAAAUGGGUGGUAAAUUCCAUCUAAAGCUAAAUACAGGCGAGAGACCGAUAGCGAACAAGUACCGUGAGGGAAAGAUGAAAAGAACUUUGGAAAGAGAGUUAAACAGUACGUGAAAUUGCUGAAAGGGAAACGCUGGAAGUCAGUCGCGUUGGCUAGGAAUCAACCUUACUCUUUUGUAGGGCUUACUUCUUAGUUGACGGGCCAACAUCAAUUUUGAUUGCUGGAAAAAGGCUUAGGGAAUGUGGCACCUUCGGGUGUGUUAUAGCCCUAGGUUGUAUACAGUGGUUGGGAUUGAGGAACGCAGCACGCCGUAAGGUUGGGCUCUGAUCACACUCGUGCUUCGGAUGUUGGCAUA